GGCUCCGCGCGCGCGGGCCAUGUCCGCCUUUUGCCUGGGCUUGGCUGGCCGCGCUUCAGCACCCGCCGAGCCGGACAGCGCCUGCUGCAUGGAGCUGCCCGCUGCGGCCGGGGACGCAGUCCGGAGUUCUGCCGCCGCCGCCGCUCUCGUCUCCUUCCCCGGGGGCCCGGAGGAACUGGAACUGGCGUUAGAGGAGGAGCUGGCGCUGCUGGCGGCCGGGGAGCGGUCGUCCGAUCCCGGGGAGCAUCCUCAGGCCGAGCCAGGGCCUGCAGCUGAGGGGGCCGGACGGCAGCCACCGCCCGCCCAGGACCCCGAGCUGUUGUCGGUGAUCCGGCAGAAGGAGAAGGAUCUGGUGUUGGCAGCCCGGCUGGGCAAGGCGCUGCUCGAGAGGAACCAGGACAUGAGCCGGCAGUACGAGCAGAUGCACAAGGAGCUGACAGAUAAGCUGGAGCACUUAGAACAAGAGAAACAUGAAUUGAGAAGACGAUUUGAGAACCGAGAAGGGGAGUGGGAAGGGCGAGUGUCAGAGCUGGAGAGUGAUGUGAAACAGCUACAAGAUGAGUUAGAGAGGCAGCAAGUUCAUCUGCGGGAAGCAGAUCGAGAAAAAACGCGUGCUGUCCAAGAACUAUCAGAACAGAACCAAAGGUUAUUGGAUCAACUCAGCAGGGCAUCAGAAGUGGAGAGACAACUCUCCAUGCAGGUCCACGCCCUCAGAGAAGACUUUCGUGAGAAAAACUCGUCAACCAACCAGCACAUCAUCAGGCUGGAGAGCCUUCAGGCUGAGCAGAUUCUCGAAAUCAAGAUGCUGUCAGAUCGGAAACGGGAGCUGGAGCAUCGUCUCAGUGCCACCUUAGAGGAAAAUGACCUGCUCCAAGGGACCGUGGAAGAGCUGCAGGACCGGGUGCUGAUCCUAGAAAGGCAGGGCCAUGACAAAGACCUACAGCUUCACCAAAGCCAGCUGGAGCUCCAGGAGGUGCGCCUCUCCUACCGGCAGUUGCAGGUGAAGGUGGAAGAACUCACUGAGGAGAGGAGUCUGCAGAGCUCUGCUGCCACCAGCACAUCCCUUCUGUCAGAGAUUGAGCAAAGCAUGGAGGCCGAGGAGCUAGAGCAAGAGAGAGAACAGCUGAGACUGCAGCUCUGGGAAGCCUAUUGCCAGGUUCGCUAUCUCUGCUCACACCUUCGAGGAAAUGACAGUGCCGACUCAGCCGUCUCCACAGACUCUUCAAUGGAUGAAUCUUCAGAAACCUCAUCUGCCAAGGAUGUGCCAGCUGGCAGCUUACGCACUGCCCUCAACGAGCUCAAGAGACUGAUACAGAGCAUUGUGGAUGGCAUGGAGCCCACGAGCUCCCGGAGACUUGAUGAUGACUCCUUAGAAGAACAGAUAAGGCAGACCAGUGAGGACUCAAGAGCCCUAAGGGAGCUCAUGGAGGGAGAGAGGGGUAAACUGAGGCAAAGCCUAGAAGAGCUGCAGCAACUCCACAGCCAGGUAACGCUGCUGAGUGUGGAGAUGACUGCACUCAAAGAAGAGAGAGACCGACUCAGAGUGACAUCUGAGGACAAGGAGCCAAAGGACAAAGAGCAGCUUCAGAAGGCCAUCAGGGACCGGGAUGAGGCCAUUGCAAAGAAAAAUGCUGUGGAGCUGGAACUUGCCAAGUGCAGGAUGGACAUGAUGUCUUUGAACAGCCAGCUGCUGGAUGCUAUUCAGCAAAAGCUGAACCUCUCCCAACAGCUGGAGGCUUGGCAGUUUGCUUCCUCAGGGCUUUUUACUAUCUGGCUCCUUUGGUUUCUGAUCUAGUGGCCUUUCUCAGUUCCCGUAUCAACAGCUUUAGUUGUACACCCCUCCUGCCUUUGAGGAUGACAUGCACAGGGUCAUUGACCGGCAGCUGAUGGACACGCACCUGAAGGAACGGAGCCAGCCGGCUGCUGCCUUCUCCAGGGGCCACAGUGCAGGGCGGGGGGAUGAGCCCAGCACCACUGAAGGCAAACGGCUCUUCUCGUUCUUCAGGAAAAUUUAAGUUGGGAGGAAUCAGGCCACCAGGGAUGGGUGGACUGGGGGAGGCUGAAAAGGUGGUGGGGCAAGGGCCUCCCUUGUGGCCUGGGACUUGGCAGUUGCACUGCCCCCAUGCUAGGUCCCAGUGGAUCUGGGAGAUGCACUCCUUUUGGCUGGUAGGGAUGGAGACCUCGAGGGUGGGGGCCUGCCUGGCCUCUGAAGGCUGCCCUCACCCCAGCUCCUGGUAGAGCCUUCCCCUGGAUCCUGUCACUGAGCAGGCCUCAGGCUGCUUCCCAAAGUAGCCCCUUGUUUGGGCUCUGCAGCUCAGACCCAGUGGACUGCAGCUCACCCUGUAGGUACUACUUGCCUCCUUGGUUUUAGAAAAUGGGGAACAGAAAAAAUGGAGGUCCUUCUCUGCAUGCCUCAGAAGGCCUGGGCCUUCGGGGCUUAUUCUGACGGGCAGUAGGCCCAGGGCCUAAGCCUCCUUCCUUUCCCAGCCUCAGCCCAGGGAGUAAGGGGAGGCAGCCCCUCACCCACGUGCAUGCAUAUCUGCUAGAGCACCUCUGUGGCCACAGAGCCUAAGAGCUGGGGCCCACCCCAAGCUUGGCCGAGGUCAUCCUGAUCCCCAGGGAGGAAGGAGGCCCUGUCACCUGGCUGCCACUGCUGUCCUUUCCAGCCUCUUUCAGUGCAGUCUUUGCCCCUUAGCAGAGCCCACGCCAGGCAGUGUGUUCUCACUCGUCCACUGCUGGCUUCAGCUAUCCAGCCCUUUCUCCUUCACAGGACCAGGGCUGAGAGGGGUCUCUUCUUCCUGUAGCCCCUACCCCUUACAUAUACAACUUCUUGGCCCAGCAAGCAAGUCCAGGCUACAUAAUGGCCCCAGAGGUGUCAGUGGUCAGCCAGCCCCCACCUUGAAGGCAGUAUUGGCACCACAGGAUGGAUGGAGGGGGGAGGCUACUGGAGCCUCCAGAUACUGCCCACUAGGCCUUCACCAGGACUAGGCCUGCCCCUGCUGCUGCUCCUCCCUAGGCAGCCACUCCCAUCUGCACCUAGGCCCCAGUAGAGGCUCCGAAGCUGCCCACAGCUGAUCCAGUCUCCCUCCCUCACCAUGGGAAAGCACAGCAGGGAUGAGCGGAAAGAAUGUACUUAUAGAUAUGUACAUAAUACAGUGCUGUAAUUUUGUAUGUAACAAUCAUGUAAAUACAUGUAUGGGUUUUAUAAUAUACUAUAUAUAAAUCUAUAAAGGCAUAUUUUUAGAAAAACAGCACACCACUGCUUCUUUUGAAAAUAGUCUGAAUAAGAAUAAAAUGAAUUUCUACACAG
This is an RNA transcript of Otolemur garnettii (small-eared galago), 3310 nucleotides long. It is a transcript of the gene named BICD family like cargo adaptor 1, with no coding region annotated. The transcript has 12 exons. The record is from RefSeq and is a predicted model, not a curated record. NCBI's taxonomy places the organism in Eukaryota, Metazoa, Chordata, Mammalia, Primates, Galagidae.